GGUUAAGUUAUUAAGGGCGCACGGCGAAUGCUUGGCACUAGGAGCCGAAGAA
This 52-nucleotide ribosomal RNA is filed under the name Lysinibacillus sphaericus. Its description in RNAcentral is "partial 23S ribosomal RNA". Lineage: Bacteria; Bacillati; Bacillota; Bacilli; Caryophanales; Bacillaceae. The record is from RNAcentral.